GGUUUUGUGAGUGGUCAGGCAGGGAACACUGCACGAGAGGACUCCAUGUUUUUCUUUCUCUCUUUGAACGAAUACAACGUCACCCGGUUGGAAUAUUAUCGCUAUUUUACGAGAAAAAAUCACAUAAAAAUGUAUUUUAAACAGCGUUUCACAUGCUUCGAAAUACGGUAAUGGAAUAUUUAAAAAAAUGUUGUCACGAAAUGCGCCCGCGCGUCACCCUUCAGAUUCUGACCUCAACGCACGAAGAAAACGGAGCUAUUUCAAUAUAACUAUGGAUUAUUUCGAACCAAAACAACAUUUGUUGUUGAAGUAGAAGUCCUGGGAGUGCAUUCUGACGAAGAACAGCAAAGGCUCUUCACUUCUUCUUUGGGAAAUGUUCCUCCUCAGAGACAGAGGAAGAUAAUGAAGACGAGUCCCCUGGUUGAUUCCCCCUCGCUGCUGGAGUCCCCGCCUGAUUCCUGCAUGUAGCCUACUGCUGGUCAGACCCUACACACAGAGACCUGAGCCCUAGGACCAUGCCUCAGGACUACCUGGCAUGAUGACUCCUUGCUGUCCCCAGUCCACCUGGCCGUGCUGCUGCUCCAGUUUCAACUGUUCUGCCUGCGGCUAUGGAACCCUGACCUGUUCACCGGACGUGCUACCUGUCCCAGACCUGCUGUUUUCAACUCUCUAGAGACAGCAGGAGCGGUAGAGAUACUCUCAAUGAUCUGCUAUGAAAAGCCAACUGACAUUUACUCUUGAGGUGCUGACUUGUUGCACCCUCGACAACUACUGUGAUUAUUAUUAUUUGACCAUGCUGGUCAUUUAUGAACAUUUGAACAUCUUGGCCAUGUUCUGUUAUAAUCUCCACCCGGCACAGCCAAAAGAGGACUGGCCACCCCUCAUAGCAUGGUUCCUCUCUAGGUUUCUUCCUAGGUUUUGGCCUUUCUAGGGAGAUUUUCCUAGCCACCGUGCUUCUACACCUGUAUUGCUUGCUGUUUGGGGUUUUAGGCUGGGUUUCUGUACAGCACUUUGAGAUAUUAGCUGGUGUAAGAAGGGCUAUAUAAAUAAAUUUGAUUUGACAUCAGAGAUUUAACAUUCUCUGUUUCACGGAAACUUGGCUCACUCGGGAUACGUUAUCAGAGUCGGUACAGUCACCCGGUUUCUUCACGCAUCGUGCCGACAGAAACAAACAUCUCUCUGGUAAGAAAAAGGGCUGGGAUGUAUGCCUUACGAUUAACGAGUCGUGGUGUGAUCAUAACAACAUUCACGAACACAAGUCCUUUUUUUCACCUGACCUAGAAUUCCUUAUAAUCAAAUGCUGACCGCAUUAUCUACCAAGAGAAUACCCUUCGAUUAUAAUCACAGCCGUGUAUAUCCCCCCCCCCCCAAGUAGACACCUCGACGGCCCUGACGGAACAUCACUGGACUCUGUGUAAACUGGAAACCACAUAUGCUGAGGCUGCAUUUAUUGUAGAUGGGGAUUUUAACAAAGCUAAUCUGAAAACAAGGCUCCCUAAAUUUUAUCAGCAUAUCGAAUGCGCGACCCGGGCUGGCAGCAUUGUGGAUCAUUGCUACUCUAACUUCCGCGACGCAUACAAAGCCCUCCCUCGCCUUCCUUUCAGCAAAUCUGACGACGACUCCAUUUUGUUGCUCCCAGCCUAUAGACAGAAACUAAAACAGGAAACACCCGUGCUCAGGUCUGUUCAACGCUGGUCCGACCAAUCUUAUUCCACGCUUCAAGAUUGCUUCGAUCACGUGGACUGGGAUAUGUUCCGGAUAGCCUGAGACAACAACAUUGAUGUAUCCGCUGAUUCGGUGAGUGAGUUUAUUAGCAAGUGCAUCAGUAAUGUUGUACCCACGGUGACUAUUAAAACCUUCCCCAACCAGAAACCAUUGAUUGAUGGUAGCAUUCGCGCAAAACUGAAAGCGUGAACCAUUGCUUUUAAUCAUGGCAAGCAGCCCAGAAACAUGACCAAAUACAAACAGUGUAGCUAUUCCCUCCGCAAGGCAAUCAAACAAGCUAAGCGUCAGUAUAGAGACAAGGUACAGCCGCAUGUCAACGGCUGAGACACGAGACGUAUGUGGCAGGGUAUACAGUCAAUCACGGAUUACAAAAAUAAAACCAGCGUCGCGGACACCGACAUAUUGCUCCCAGACAAACUAAACAACUUCUUUGCUCACUUUGAGGACAAUACAUUGCCAUUGACACAGCCCGCUACCAAAACCUGCAGGCUCUCCUUCACCGCAGCCAACGUGAGUAAAACAUUUAAACGUGUUAACCCUCGCAAGGCUGCCUACCCAGACAGCAUCCCUAGCCGCGUCCUCAGAGCAUGCGCAGACCAGCUAGCUAGUGUGUUUACGGACAUAUUCAAUCAAUCCCUAUCCCUGUCUGCUGUUCCCACAAGCUUCAAGAGGGCCACCAUUAUUACUGUUCCCAAGAAAGCUGAAAUAACUGAGCUAAACGACUAUUGCCCCGUAGCACUCACUUCCGUCAUCAUGAAGUGCUUCGAGAGACUAGUCAAGGAUCAUAUCACCUCCACCAUACCUGACACCCUAGACCCACUCCAACUUGCUUACCGUCCCAAUAGGUCCACAGACGACACAAUCGCAAUCACACUGCACACUGCCCUAACCCAUCUGGACAAGAGGAAUACCUAUGUAAGAACGCUGUUCAUCAAUUACAGCUCAGCAUUUAACACCAUAGUCCACCAUAGUACCCUCCAAACGCAACAGCGCCUCUUCAACCUCAGGAGGCUGAGGAAAUUUGGCUUGUCACCGAAAACACUCACAAAUUUUACAGAUGCACAAUCAAGAGCAUCCUGUCGGGCUGUAUCACCGCCUGGUACGGCAACUGCUCUGCCCACAACCGUAAGGCUCUCCAGAGGGUAGUGUGGUCUGCACAACGCAUCACCGGGGGAGAAACUACCUGUUCUCUAGGAAGACCUACACCACCCGAUGUCACAGGAAGGCCAAAAAGAUCAUCAAGGACAACAACCACCCAAACCACUGUCUGUUCACCCCGCUGUCAUCCAGAAGGCGAGCUCAGUUUGGGACCCUUAAUCCAGGCUGGACAGGAGGAAGUCAACCUGCAUUUCUAGAUUCACCAUCACCUGCCACGAGAGCCUCUGUGGGCUUUCAUAGAUGGACUCAUCGAGGUUGAAGAUGGAGUCCAACCACGCCUUCAUCUGAUCCUGACGACAACAGACACAUCAACUAUUAUUUAAUGACCAACUACAAAGAUAAGGAUGAACAAACCAUCACACACAGUUCAGGAUAGAGAGAGAGAGAGAGAGAGAGAGAGAGAGAGAGAGAGAGAGAGAGAGAGAGGGGGAGAGAGAAAUGCACCUUAAGGAGGAGGUAGAAGUUCCCAGCAGACUCUGUCCAGGCUCCUCCAGGAGGGUGAAUCGUCAUUAUCACUUCAAUGAGCAGAUAAAAGAAGGUACCAGGCCUCUGGAGAAGGAACAGGGGACAUAAGUGGGUGUCUACAGACCUGGUAUGGCUACAGUGUGGAUAGGGUAGAUAAACAACAGGAUGUUUACAUUAUUAGGGCCACUUACAGAUGUUGGAAGAGAUGUUUUUCCUUCUAGAAGGCUUAGUAGAACGAAUUCAUAAAAUACAUCCGUGAAGUUGAUGUGGUUGAUCUGAAGUCGAACAAAUAAGAUAAUUACAUCAUUUUCAUUGACAAGCACUUUAGAAAGUCUCAUUGAGUAGAUGUUGGAUGAGCAGACGGUGCCUGCAGCUAACGCUCAAGCUUGUAUGUAAACCUACUCCUACAAGAGCCAUCUCCAGCUCUAGUCGCUCCCUGUUUGCUGGCUCAUUAAUGAAGUUCACCAGGAUGUCAUAGGCCUGCUGAAACUGCCUCACAUCCUCAAAACAAAACAACCAUAAAAUUCCUUAGAACGUGGAUCAUAAACUCAAAGAUUCAGGUCUGUAAUUCUGACUGUUUGGCUUGUAAGACAUUGGAACUUUUCAACUAAACCUUACGAAUCACUAUUGCCUAAAUGUAA
RNAcentral lists this long non-coding RNA (3989 nucleotides) under Salmo salar (Atlantic salmon). RNAcentral describes it as "lncRNA (ENSSSAG00000120903.1)". The record is from RNAcentral. Lineage: Eukaryota; Metazoa; Chordata; Actinopteri; Salmoniformes; Salmonidae.